UACGUAGGGGGCAAGCGUUGUCCGGAUUUAUUGGGCGUAAAGAGCGUGUAGGCGGCCAGACAAGUCUGCUGUGAAAACUCGAGGCUCAACCUCGAGCUGUCGGUGGAAACUGUCUAGCUAGAGUCCGGAAGAGGAGAGUGGAAUUCCUGGUGUAGCGGUGAAAUGCGCAGAUAUCAGGAAGAACACCUAUGGCGAAGGCAGCUCUCUGGGACGGUACUGACGCUGAGACGCGAAAGCGUGGGGAGCGAACAGG
This 253-nucleotide ribosomal RNA is filed under the name uncultured bacterium. RNAcentral describes it as "partial 16S ribosomal RNA". It matches the Rfam family "Bacterial small subunit ribosomal RNA", at positions 524 to 776 of the family's 1533-position model. The record is from RNAcentral.